This 511-nucleotide long non-coding RNA is filed under the name Phoenix dactylifera (date palm). Its description in RNAcentral is "long non-coding RNA (PDAC_LNC022860)". Lineage: Eukaryota; Viridiplantae; Streptophyta; Magnoliopsida; Arecales; Arecaceae. The record is from RNAcentral.
GCAUUGCUUGAUGAAUGAUAUCCAAGGAUAGAAAUAUCUUUAUUAGAUUUGGCAUUAUUUUUCAAGAGAACAUAUCAAGCAUAACAUGUACGACUGAAAAAUAUGAGAGAUACGCAAUAGUUCGUUUUCUAUUUUUCAGAAGAUCAAAAGAAGUUUUCAUCAAAGAUAGAUCUAAUAGAAGUCAUAUGUAUGACAAGCAGUGAUGAUAGCUUUUAAACAUCAUUUUAAGUAGAUGACUAUCAUACAACAUUGCCUUUUUCAAUUCUUCAAAGAUUCUAUUAAUCCUAUUUUACCUAUAGUGUUCUUGGUGCAGAAAGAAUUGUAUUCAAUAUUAUUUUCUGUGCACAACUUAACACAAAAAUUGGUUUUCAAAACUAUGCUGUGAUUCAUAGUUUGCAAACCUUUAUCAUUUGAUCGCUUUUUGUGAGUUUGUGCCAAUGCAGAAAAUAUUUCAAUUUGAGUACCAAGAACAAGGCUAAUGUAAGCUUUUGAAAAAUUAGUGUUGGAAACA